AUUGAACGCUGGCGGAAUGCUUUACACAUGCAAGUCGAACGGCAGCACGGACUUCGGUCUGGCGGCGAGUGGCGAACGGGUGAGUAAUGUAUCGGAACGUGCCCAGUCGUGGGGGAUAACGUAGUGAAAAUUACGCUAAUACCGCAUACGAUCUAUGGAUGAAAGCGGGGGAUCGCAAGACCUCGCGCGAUUGGAGCGGCCGAUAUCAGAGUAGGUAGUUGGUGGGGUAAAGGCCCACCAAGCCAACGAUCUGUAGCUGGUCUGAGAGGACGACCAGCCACACUGGAACUGAGACACGGUCCAGACUCCUACGGGAGGCAGCAGUGGGGAAUUUUGGACAAUGGGCGAAUGCCUGAUCCAGCCAUUCCGCGUGCAGGAUGAAGGCCCUCGGGUUGUAAACUGCUUUUGUACAGAACGAAAAGGUUUCUACUAAUACUAGGAGCUCAUGACGGUACUGUAAGAAUAAGCACCGGCUAACUACGUGCCAGCAGCCGCAGUAA
Molecule: ribosomal RNA, 500 nt
Filed under: uncultured bacterium
Lineage: Bacteria
Description: partial 16S ribosomal RNA
Rfam family: Bacterial small subunit ribosomal RNA
Source: RNAcentral